This is a small nucleolar RNA of Lycium ferocissimum, 116 nucleotides long. RefSeq annotates it as small nucleolar RNA U19. The record is from RefSeq and is a predicted model, not a curated record. Lineage: Eukaryota; Viridiplantae; Streptophyta; Magnoliopsida; Solanales; Solanaceae. The transcript has a single exon.
AUUUGGCUUAGUUAGGGGGCUGAGAUUAAAUCUUUUGAUGCUUUCUGUUAAGGCCUUUUGAAAGAACUAUUUUGUUCUUGUUCAUCAAUUGUCCUUUAAGCAUCUUCUGGACAUAC